Molecule: ribosomal RNA, 497 nt
Filed under: uncultured bacterium
Lineage: Bacteria
Description: partial 16S ribosomal RNA
Rfam family: Bacterial small subunit ribosomal RNA
Source: RNAcentral
GACGAACGCUGGCGGCGUGCCUAAUACAUGCAAGUUGAGCGCUGAAGGUUGGUGCUUGUACCAACUGGAUGAGCAGCGAACGGGUGAGUAACGCGUGGGGAAUCUGCCUUUGAUCGGGGGACAACAAUUGGAAACGACUGCUAAUACCGCAUAAAAACUUUAAACACAAGUUGUAAGUUUGAAAGAUGCAAUUGCAUCACUCAAAGAUGAUCCCGCGUUGUAUUAGCUAGUUGGCGAGGUAAAGGCUCACCAAGGCGAAGAUACAUAGCCGACCUGAGAGGGUGGUCGGCCACAUUGGGACUGAGACACGGCCCAAACUCCUACGGGAGGCAGCAGUAGGGAAUCUUCGGCAAUGGACGAAAGGCUGACCGAGCAACGCCGCGUGAGUGAAGAAGGGUUUCGGAUCGUAAAACUCUGUUGGUAGAGAAGAACGUUGGUGAGAGUGGAAAGCUCAUCAAGUGACGGUAACUACCCAGAAAGGGACGGCUAACUACGUG